UCCCUGGUGGCUCAGAUGGUAAAAGCGUCUGCCUGCAAUGCGGGGGAGACCCAGGUUCGAUCCCUGGGUUGGGAA
Molecule: transfer RNA, 75 nt
Organism: Ovis aries (sheep)
Lineage: Eukaryota; Metazoa; Chordata; Mammalia; Artiodactyla; Bovidae
Rfam family: tRNA
About the family: Transfer RNA (tRNA) molecules are approximately 80 nucleotides in length. Their secondary structure includes four short double-helical elements and three loops (D, anti-codon, and T loops).
Source: Rfam